This 173-nucleotide small nuclear RNA is filed under the name Oncorhynchus tshawytscha (Chinook salmon). RNAcentral describes it as "U2 spliceosomal RNA". It matches the Rfam family "U2 spliceosomal RNA". Rfam says of the family: U2 is a small nuclear RNA (snRNA) component of the spliceosome (involved in pre-mRNA splicing). Complementary binding between U2 snRNA (in an area lying towards the 5' end but 3' to hairpin I) and the branchpoint sequence (BPS) of the intron results the bulging out of an unpaired adenosine, on the BPS, which initiates a nucleophilic attack at the intronic 5' splice site, thus starting the first of two transesterification reactions that mediate splicing. Lineage: Eukaryota; Metazoa; Chordata; Actinopteri; Salmoniformes; Salmonidae. The record is from Rfam by way of RNAcentral.
AUAUAUUUUAUUAAAAAAAAUCUUUCUUAUCAGUUUAAUAUCUGAUACGUCCCCCAUCGGGGGACUACAUUAUUAAAUGGUAUUUUCGAACAGGGAGUCGGAAAUGGGGCUUGCGCCGUCCGCUCCACGCAUCGACCCGGUAUUGCAGUACCUCCGGGAACGGUUGAAACACU